Long non-coding RNA from Helianthus annuus (common sunflower), 1223 nucleotides. RefSeq lists it as uncharacterized. The transcript is spliced from 6 exons. The record is from RefSeq and is a predicted model, not a curated record. Lineage: Eukaryota; Viridiplantae; Streptophyta; Magnoliopsida; Asterales; Asteraceae.
UCAUCUACUCUAUGGCGACUUUUCAGAAAACCCUAAAUCUCAUCCCGUCGCUUUUUCUUCUCCUCAGAAACCAUGUUGCUCACUCCCUCAACCUAAACCUAAAUCGACUUCAUCUUCUCUGAUUUGACCUUUUCAGAAGACAAUAUAGGAAAAGCCAACAACCCAACUGUGUUUCUCAUCCGUCUGCCGACUGAUUCUUCUCACCGACAACUUUGACACAGAAAACCAAAGGAAAAAGGGCAGAUAAUGGCUGUUGCACAAGGGAGGUUUAUUCAUAAGUCGAUGGGAGAGGCGUCGGCGGCUAGGGUUGGGAAUUAUCUGCCGAUAACUCAUGGACAUUUCAAUUUGCUUGCGUCACUUUCCGGUCCCCCGCCACAAUCUUCGAACAACAAAGAUGAUGAUAACCACUGAAUUGUUCUUUAACCGGUAUUGCUUGCUAUCGAUAUGUAUAUCUAUAUAUAAAUAUGCAUGAUGUUUGUGUGGAAGAUUUGUGAAGGCUAGGGUUUAGGUGUGAUUUUAGGGUUUCUGCAAUUUGUUAAAUUGAAAUUGAAUUAAAAUCAAGGUAUGUUAGGUUAUAGAGUUGUUUUUGGUCACCGCUUUUUAGGGUUGGUUAAUUAUAUCCAUUUUUUUCUAGCGUAUAAUGUGGUUCAUAUCGAAGGAAGAAAUCUGAAAUGUGAAAUCUACAGAGGGAAGCUAGCUUAAUGGUUUUGUUUGAAUCCAGGAAGUAUGAUAUGAAACUGCAGGUGUUAGGGGGGGGGGGGUUUACAAUCAAUUUGUGAUCUCUAUUCUCAUUGUUAGAUUAAUUAGAGUUUAAGGUUUCUCUUGAUAAAAUACGAGAAGAAAGUUUCUCGAAGAAUGAUGUGUUUUGCAACACUAUUAAAGAAGCAUUCGAGUAUCUAAUCAAUGUACGUCAGAACCGCCCUGCUGAACUGGUUGCAAAGUUUUUGGACGAGAAACUACGUGCUAGAAAUAAGGGUACAUCUAAGGAAGAAUUGGAGGGCACUCUUGAUAAAGUUUUGGUUUUGUUCAUAUUCAUACAGGGUAAAGAUGUGCUUGAAGCAUUCUACACAAAGGAUCUUGCGACAAGGCUUCUUUUUGGGAAGAAUGCAUCUAUUGAUGCUGAAAAGUCGAUGAUCUCAAAGUUAAAACCGAAUGUGGUAGCCAGUUUACCAACAAGCUUGAAGGAAUUUUUAAGGAUAUUGAGUUAUCGAAGGAGAUUAAUG